This 73-nucleotide transfer RNA is filed under the name Mus pahari (shrew mouse). RNAcentral's name for it is "tRNA-Lys (CTT) (tRNA-Lys-CTT-7-1)". It matches the Rfam family "tRNA". From Rfam's summary of the family: Transfer RNA (tRNA) molecules are approximately 80 nucleotides in length. Their secondary structure includes four short double-helical elements and three loops (D, anti-codon, and T loops). The record is from RNAcentral. Lineage: Eukaryota; Metazoa; Chordata; Mammalia; Rodentia; Muridae.
GCCCAGCUAGCUCAGUUGGUAAAGCAUGAGAUGCUUAAUCUCAGGGUCAUGGUUUUGUGCCCCAUGUUGGGCA